GACGAACGCUGGCGGCGUGCUUAACACAUGCAAGUCGAGCGGUAAGGCCCUUUCGGGGGUACACGAGCGGCGAACGGGUGAGUAACACGUGGGUGACCUGCCCUCAGCUCUGGGAUAAGCCCGGGAAACUGGGUCUAAUACCGGAUAUGACUCCAUGACGCAUGUUGUGGGGUGAAAAGCCUUGUGCGGCUGAGGAUGGGCCCGCGGCCUAUCAGCUUGUUGGUGGGGUGAUGGCCACCAAGGCGGCGACGGGUAGCCGGCCUGAGAGGGCGACCGGCCACACUGGGGACUGAGAUACGGCCCAGACUCCUACGGGAGGCAGCAGGUGGGGAAUCUUGCGCAAUGGGCGAAAGCCUGACGCAGCGACGCCGCGUGAGGGAUGACGGCCUCGG
RNAcentral lists this ribosomal RNA (392 nucleotides) under uncultured bacterium. RNAcentral's name for it is "bacterial SSU rRNA". It matches the Rfam family "Bacterial small subunit ribosomal RNA", at positions 28 to 420 of the family's 1533-position model. The record is from RNAcentral.